UACAGGGAAUGCAAGCGUUAUCCGGAUUCAUUGGGCGUAAAGGGUCCUGAGGUGGUCUGCUUAGUCUACUGUGAAAGCUCAGGGCUUAACCCUGACAAUGCGGUGGAAACUAGUAGGCUAGAAUACGGUAGGGGCAAGGGGAAUUCCCAGUGUAGCGGUGAAAUGCAUAGAUAUUGGGAAGAACACCAAAGGCGAAGGCACCUUGCUGGGCCGAUAUUGACACUGACAGACGAAAGCUAGGGGAGCGAAUGGG
RNAcentral lists this ribosomal RNA (253 nucleotides) under uncultured bacterium. RNAcentral describes it as "partial 16S ribosomal RNA". It matches the Rfam family "Bacterial small subunit ribosomal RNA", at positions 524 to 776 of the family's 1533-position model. The record is from RNAcentral.